AGUGAACGCUGGCGGCAGGCCUAACACAUGCAAGUCGAGCGGCAGCGCGUCCGACCACCCUCGGGUGGUCGGAUGGCGGCGAGCGGCGGACGGGUGAGGAAUGCAUCGGAAUCUGCCUCGUUGUGGGGGAUAACGUAGGGAAACUUACGCUAAUACCGCAUACGACCUACGGGUGAAAGUGGGGGACCUUCGGGCCUCACGCGAUGAGAUGAGCCGAUGCCGGAUUAGCUAGUUGGCGGGGUAAAGGCCCACCAAGGCGACGAUCUGUAGCGGGUCUGAGAGGAUGAUCCGCCACACUGGAACUGAGACACGGUCCAGACUCCUACGGGAGGCAGCAGUGGGGAAUUUUGGACAAUGGGCGCAAGCCUGAUCCAGCCAUGCCGCGUGAGUGAAGAAGGCCUUCGGGUUGUAAAGCUCUUUCGGCCGGGAAGAAAUCGCACAGGUUAAUACCCUGUGUGGAUGACGGUACCGGAAUAAGAAGCACCGGCUAACUACGUG
RNAcentral lists this ribosomal RNA (498 nucleotides) under uncultured bacterium. RNAcentral describes it as "bacterial SSU rRNA". It matches the Rfam family "Bacterial small subunit ribosomal RNA", at positions 30 to 507 of the family's 1533-position model. The record is from RNAcentral.